This 1915-nucleotide long non-coding RNA is filed under the name Pelobates cultripes (western spadefoot toad). Lineage: Eukaryota; Metazoa; Chordata; Amphibia; Anura; Pelobatidae. The record is from RNAcentral.
GUUUAACAAUAUGGGCAGUGAGCAGAGUACAGUGGUGUCUAUCUGUGAUAAGGGUGUAGUUAACUGGACCCUGGAGCCGAGAAAGAACAUCAGCACCCAAGAGGUUAAUGGGACAAGUAGAAGAAACAACAAAACGUGAGAGUAUGUGUGAACCAACAUGCAGGAGUGUAGGGAGGGGGCUACUGCGGGGUGUACCAUCCACCCCAACACAGGAGACAUCGGUGUCUGACAAAAAGGAGGGGUCAUGGCAGGGGUUGCUGACACAGGCUUGCCGGUAACCUAUUGCAGUAAAUCUAAAUGGGCCUGGUCGGGUCCUUGGUACCGGCGGGUAGAAGUGGGAGGGUGGCUGGACUGCAUAGGAGCACGGGCAAGGCGGCUUUGUCGAGGUAGGGGCUGAAUAUCUUGGAAACCACCCGUGUCAAACCCAUCAGCGGGAGCUGGAGGGUAUGCACGGGCCUCUAAAGCAGGGGGCCGGCUGGGAUGGGCGUGAUAGGUGAGUAUUAAGGGUGGGAGGAGGUGGAGGAGGAGGAGGUAAAUCAGUGGGAGGUGGGGCAGGAAUCGCGGAAUUAACCAGGGAGGUAACAGCAGAGAAGAGGGCGGAUGUCGAGCUAGACAGGUCAUUGGCCAUGGUUGGAUCAGGGGUCACCGGGGGAGAGGUCGGAGGGAUGGGAACAGGGGGCUGGGUCGUAACAGCGUGGGUAAACCAGUCGGGGGAGGAGGAGACAACGAGGUAGAGGGGGCCGGGACUUCGGGAGGAGGAGGUAACACUGGAGAAGGGGUGGUAACGGGGGGUUGGGUCAGGGCGGUGAGGGCAGAAAUCAGGGACGGCAAAUCGGCCGAGGGAGGAGGAGGCAACGAGGUAGAGGGGACCGGGAUAUCGGGAGGGGGGUACCACUGGAGAAGGGGUUGGAGGGGUGGGAACGGGGGGCUGGGUCAGGGCAGUGAGGGCAGAGAUUAGGGACGGCAAAUCAGUCGGGAGGGGAGGGGACAACGAGGUAGAAGAGAGGUCCGGAGGCAUAAGGGAAGCGGGAUCAGCGGGAGGACAAGGGUCUGGAGGAUCUGGGGCGGUGGGGUGAGUAAGGUCGAGAGGGCAGAGAGCGGGGCAGCGGAUGGAGACGGGUGAGUGGGUAACACUGGGGAGGGGUCAGUCGAGGUGGAGAGGGGACGAGAGGCAAGCAUAGGUAAAGGUGGCGGGGGACAGGGAGGCGGAGGAAUGUCAUUUAACGUAAAGGAUGUUACUGUAAACAUACGAUUUGUAACUAGCAAGAUUCUAUUAAGUAAAGAUACAAUGUUUAAAAUAACUUGCAUUAUUUUGCAAUAUCCCUUGUUGCAAGACACAGGCAUUAAUGAAUAAUCAUCAGGAUAAUUAGCUGUAAUGCUCUUAUAUUCGUGCCCUACAGAACUCAUUUGUAGGUCACACCACAGGUGCAAAUGACUCUUUAGCAACCUCUUUUUUUUUUUUUUUUUUAAAUAUCACGGACACAUCUCUGAUACAGGGAAACAAAUGGCAUGAUUGUUUUAGUAAUUAUAACGUUUCAGUUCAUAAUAUGUAGAGCGUAAGGAAAACAACAUGUCUCUAAAUAGGACGAGCAUAAUAGGGGUAGGCCUCAUGAUGGAGGCAGCCAUGACAGGGGCGGGGAAGGAAAUGACAGCAAGGGAGGAAGUGAAGUCCAUGAUAUGUGAGGGAAAGGAAGACAGGAGGUGUGGGCAUGGUAAGGGCGGAAGUGACGUUACUUUAGAAGCAACCGUGACUGUAGAUAGGUCACAGGACUGGCAGGGUCAACCUCCUUCUGUACUAGGCGCCAUCUUUAGGGUGGUGGCUGACGUACUUUCAACAAUACACCAUAUUAUAACUAAUAAAAUAAGUCAGAGAAGCAACAUUCCGUUCUGCAAAAUGAAAUAUUAAACUAUGAAC